GAAUUUUGAUUUGAUGUUUUUGUCAUUUUAGAUUUGAUUGUCUUAAGAGUGGAUUGUAACCGGACAUGGUGGAGUAAUUUAAAGAUCAAAUUCGUGCUUACUUGUUCCAUUCUAUCAAAAUCUGACAUUUCUCUUUUUCGUGUCUUUCGGAGUACUUUUGAGGGAUUUUCAUUCUUCGCGUUUGGUUGCGAAUCUCACGAAUUUUUCAUAUUUUUCGGAGUAUUUUUCGGGGGAUUUUCAUUCUUUGC
This 248-nucleotide long non-coding RNA is filed under the name Setaria viridis. Its description in RNAcentral is "long non-coding RNA (SVIR_LNC007394)". Lineage: Eukaryota; Viridiplantae; Streptophyta; Magnoliopsida; Poales; Poaceae. The record is from RNAcentral.